GACUACCGGCUGGCUGGCUGGCGGGCGGGCUUCAACCUGCAGAGAACCAAUGGCGACUUUCCUACGCCCCACGUGCUAUCGCGAACUUAUCCUUCCACCUUCUACCUUUCUAUGUUUUUUUAACUUCCUGCCACUUUCUUACUAGAGAAAAUACAGAGUCUAGCUUGUUGGCUUUGCACGUACCAUUCUUUGAAAUUUAUUAUGGCAUCCGCAUAUGCAUAUACAUUCCUAUGGAACAUACUGAGACAAUAUAACCUAUAAGGAUACGACAGAAGUCAAACAAAAGACUGACGGACUUCUGUCCGAUCGUAACGAGUGAAUCUAAUUUGACGCGAGUGUGUUUAAGUGAAUUUAAAAUCCACCAACAUUCAACAUGGCGAUCGGUAUUAUUUAAUGACGAUUAAUGACACUGUGUGUGCUUUAGGCCGUGAUCUGUAACGAUCAUUAAAAUGAUCUUGUAUCGUGAAUGGUUCGCAUUUCCUCUGGUGAAAUUAUAAGAUAAUGAGUGUCGGAUAUGACACAUGGACAAAUAGUCUAUCGUAGACAUACGUUAACACGACAGAGCAUGUCUAAUGGACAAGCAGUGUUUUUAUCACAGGCUAAUAAUUUUUCGAGCCUGGAUAAUGUAUUGCCGUAUGAGAAUCUGCGAUUUAACCUGGCACAAGGUUACCAUGGUAUUUUCUACAGAGGUGGGAUUCAUCGAUCGAACUCGAUAAAAACCGUGUAAUUGCGGUCACCUUUGUAUCUCAUGAAGGCCACUGCAAUUGAUAUUGAUGAUUCCAACUUGGUGGCAUUAGUGGAUUUUGGGUAAUUUUAUACAUUUAAAAAUUUGCUUGAUACACAUUUACCAUCCGAUUUUCUGGUGAUAACAUCGGCGCUGCAUUGUUUCUGUAGAGGGAGCAGAUAACCAUAAUUUGCUCUAAACAAUUGUUGAAAGUAACUAGUUGUCACUGAAAGGAUGUUUCUCAGG
Cephus cinctus (wheat stem sawfly) is the source of this 970-nucleotide long non-coding RNA. RefSeq lists it as uncharacterized. The transcript is spliced from 3 exons. The record is from RefSeq and is a predicted model, not a curated record. NCBI's taxonomy places the organism in Eukaryota, Metazoa, Arthropoda, Insecta, Hymenoptera, Cephidae.